UACGUAGGGGGCUAGCGUUGUCCGGAUUUAUUGGGCGUAAAGAGCGUGUAGGCGGCCAGGUAGGUCUGGUGUGAAAACUCGAGGCUCAACCUCGAGACGUCGGUUGAAACCACCUGGCUAGAGUCCGGAAGAGGAGAGUGGAAUUCCUGGUGUAGCGGUGAAAUGCGCAGAUAUCAGGAAGAACACCAAUGGCGAAAGCAGCUCUCUGGGACGGUACUGACGCUGAGACGCGAAAGCGUGGGGAGCGAACAGG
RNAcentral lists this ribosomal RNA (253 nucleotides) under uncultured bacterium. RNAcentral's name for it is "partial 16S ribosomal RNA". It matches the Rfam family "Bacterial small subunit ribosomal RNA", at positions 524 to 776 of the family's 1533-position model. The record is from RNAcentral.